Acanthosepion pharaonis is the source of this 113-nucleotide non-coding RNA. Lineage: Eukaryota; Metazoa; Mollusca; Cephalopoda; Sepiida; Sepiidae. The record is from the annotation of a GenBank genome assembly.
UUACGUCCAUAUCAUGCUGAAAUACCGGUUCUCAUAAAAUCACCAAUGUUAAGCAACAUCGAGUCUGGUCAGUCCCUAGAUGGGUGACCGUUUGGGAAUACCAGCUGUUGUAA